CUCUGAUACUAAUUGAAGGAAAGAGAAACUGUUUUCCUCCGAGAUGCCCAGGUUGCAUCUAAAUUUUUUUUAAUAUUUUAUUUGUUUAAAGAUCAAAUUUUUACUUGAAAUACAGUGGAAUCAAAGAUCAAAUCUCAAAUUAUCUGAUGUAAACCUUCAUGGAGGUCUGGAUGUGCAGACCCUCUACUUUGCAUGUACGUCAGACACCG
RNAcentral lists this long non-coding RNA (209 nucleotides) under Elaeis guineensis (African oil palm). Its description in RNAcentral is "long non-coding RNA (EGUI_LNC052231)". Lineage: Eukaryota; Viridiplantae; Streptophyta; Magnoliopsida; Arecales; Arecaceae. The record is from RNAcentral.